UACGGAGGAUGCGAGCGUUAUCCGGAUUUAUUGGGUUUGAAGGGUGCGCAGGCGGCGUGUCAAGUCAGCGGUAAAAUGUCGGGGCUCAACCCCGGCCGGCCGUUGAAACUGGCGUGCUCGAGUUGGAGAGAAGUAUGCGGAAUUCGUGGUGUAGCGGUGAAAUGCAUAGAUAUCACGAAGAACCCCGAUUGCGAAGGCAGCAUACCGGCUCCACACUGACGCUGAGGCACGAAAGCGUGGGUAUCGAACAGG
Molecule: ribosomal RNA, 252 nt
Filed under: uncultured bacterium
Lineage: Bacteria
Description: partial 16S ribosomal RNA
Rfam family: Bacterial small subunit ribosomal RNA
Source: RNAcentral